GACGAACGCUGGCGGCGUGCCUAAUACGUGCAAGUUGAGCGCUGAAGGUUGGUACUUGUACCAACUGGAUGAGCAGCGAACGGGUGAGUAACGCGUGGGGAAUCUGCCUUUGAGCGGGGGACAACAUUUGGAAACGAAUGCUAAUACCGCAUAAAAACUUUAAACACAAGUUUUAAGUUUGAAAGAUGCAAUUGCAUCACUCAAAGAUGAUCCCGCGUUGUAUUAGCUAGUUGGUGAGGUAAAGGCUCACCAAGGCGAUGAUACAUAGCCGACCUGAGAGGGUGAUCGGCCACAUUGGGACUGAGACACGGCCCAAACUCCUACGGGAGGCAGCAGUAGGGAAUCUUCGGCAAUGGACGAAAGUCUGACCGAGCAACGCCGCGUGAGUGAAGAAGGGUGUCGGAUCGUAAAACUCUGUUGGUAGAGAAGAACGUUGGUGAGAGUGGAAAGCUCAUCAAGUGACGGUAACUACCCAGAAAGGGACGGCUAACUACGUG
Molecule: ribosomal RNA, 497 nt
Filed under: uncultured bacterium
Lineage: Bacteria
Description: partial 16S ribosomal RNA
Rfam family: Bacterial small subunit ribosomal RNA
Source: RNAcentral